RNAcentral lists this unclassified non-coding RNA (2756 nucleotides) under Hevea brasiliensis (rubber tree). Lineage: Eukaryota; Viridiplantae; Streptophyta; Magnoliopsida; Malpighiales; Euphorbiaceae. The record is from RNAcentral.
UUACCUUGUAGAAUAGAAUUGAGGUAAUGAGCUUAGUCAUGUUUUUCUGUUCUUAUACUGCCUGUUAUUCUUUUCUUAAUCACAAAUAGCUGUAAAAAGCAUACCAGCAAAAGUUGAAACUCAUGAUCACCAAUUUAAAAGCAUAGCUGUUAUUAACAAGCUGUUUUAGUAAUUUACCUUCCAACACAUCAAAGUUUUUUAAUUAGAAAAUUACUAAUACAUGGUGAACAUUUGCCUUCUUACUUGGAUUCUGCAUCAUUGCAUAUCCUUUCAUUGAUGACCACAUCAUCUUGUAGGUUUCCUUGGAGUUGCAUGACUUUAAUAUGUUCUGGUUUCCCAUUGUUCGAACGGCAGUGGCAAUAUCAUUCCAUGUUGUUUUAUGUCAUAUACCCUUAUUUAGAAAUUAGAAUCUUUGCAAUUGCUAGAAACCAUGCAAUGACUUCUUGUAAUAUGUCCGUCUCACCAUAAAUGUCUAUAGCGAUUCUAAUUCUAAAUGAAAUCACUAGGGCCAGACGUAAUGAGACUCAGUUUUUCCUGGCAUCUUUGGAGUUGCCAUGCUGAGAUAUCUCAAAUGGAUUUCUGAGAUCAAACUGCCCUUCUUAUGUAGGAGGAGAUAUUUGUUAGAUUGUAUCUUAAUUGGUUUAUUCAGCUCUGUGUGGUUGCAUUUUCUUCUAAUUUAUUUAUUUAUUUAUUUUUAUACUUUUCCAAAAUGAGUAUGUUGAGGACUGGAGGAUACGCAUGAGAAAGGAGAUCUGGUGAAAAUCCAACAAAAAAGCAAGCAAAUCAUGGGGACUGUUGACGGAAUGAGGGGGAAAAUGCACACUGCUCCAAUGCCGCCGCCGCCGCCGGCUCAUCGUCAUAUUUCCGGUUCCGAUCGCCGAAUCAUCGAUAGCAAUGGCCCUGACCUUCGAGUUUACCAAGCUUGGAAAGGCAGCAAUAUAUUCUGCUUUGGAGGUAGACUUAUAUUUGGUCCAGAUGUGAGGUCUCUAUUCCUUACGGUGUUCAUGAUUGUGACUCCAGCAAUCUUGUUCUGCACUUUUGUUUCGCAUGAGCUCAUAAAUGAAUUUCAGCACCAUCUUGGCAAUCUUAUUGAAGUUAUAUGUGCCAUCUCCACAGCAUAUAUAAUGAUUCUUCUGUUGCUUACAUCUGCACGAGAUCCUGGCAUUAUUCCACGUAAUCAUCAUCCUCCUGAUGAAGAUGGCUCAAAUAUUUCGACAGAUUGGACAGCAAUUCAAGGUGGUGGUUCUAGUUUACCACCCAUGAAAGAUGUUUUGGUUAAGGGGAUAGUAGUCAAAGUCAAAUACUGCCAAACAUGCAUGCUAUAUCGCCCACCAAGAUGCUCUCAUUGCUCUAUAUGCAACAACUGUGUUGAGCGUUUUGAUCAUCAUUGCCCAUGGGUGGGGCAGUGUAUUGGGAAGAGAAAUUACAGAUUCUUCUUCAUGUUUGUCUCCUCCACAACCAUGCUCUGCCUCUACGUUUUUGCAUUUUGCUGGGUGAAUGUCAGGAAGAUAAUGGGUGCAUAUGAUUGUAAUCUCUGGAGGGCGUUUCUGAAGUCCCCCAUUUCAGGAAUUCUGAUAUUAUAUACAUUUGUAUGUGUUUGGUUUGUUGGAGGCCUCACUGCAUUUCAUCUGUAUUUGAUAUGCACCAAUCAGGUUCUGAUUUUCUCUUUACCUUUAUGCUGGCUGUUGUUCAAAAUGUUGUACCUCUUCAUUAUUGUAAGCCUUUUAUUAUUUAUGCAGACAACAUAUGAGAAUUUCCGGUAUCGGUACGAUGGAAAGACGAAUCCUUAUAACCUUGGUUAUGUGCGUAAUAUUAUAGAGGUUUUCUUCACAAAGAUUCCCAAAUCAAAGAACAGUUUCAGGGAAAAGAUCAAGGUGAACUCAUAUUCAAUUUAUGCCACUUCAAUGUCAUUGGGACAGUCUUUGAGCCCAGAGAUACCCAAAACUAGCUUUGAUGUAGAAGUGGGAAAACGGCAAGCUGUUGCUGAUGAGGAUUUUGAAGAAAUACAAAGCCAUAUUGACAAUGUUGGUGGAUUGGAGAGGUGUGGAACCCAACCAAGACACAUAAAUCGGGAUCAUAAAGCGAACUGGGAGAUAACACCUGAUAUACGUAUCUUGGCUGCUGAGCUUGAAUCAGGUCAUGGUUUAAGAGAUAGACAGAAAAUUUCUCGAGAUCAUUAGAGUUGCUGGUACUGUGUAAAUUAUGGGGGAGGAAAGCAUUCACAUCUCAAAGGUCAAAGCCAAUUUACAUUCUCUAAUUGGGCUGGUUGGAACUGGCCAUUGGCAUGCCAUUUAACUAUAAGGAUGAAAAGGAUGUUAUGUGCUUCAAGAGCAAAAGGAAAGGAAUGCUCGUGGUUGAUUAAGUGUGAGGGAUUAGAUAAUGUAAAUCAAACUGUCUUCAGGCUUCAGUGUUACUUUGGGAAUGUUGUGCUAUUAUGUGUUCGAUUUUCUGGAAAUUUAGUUGGUUGUUAAUAUUUGUCAGUUGAUUCGAUAAUUUUAGCAAUGUGCAGAUGGUACCAUUAGCCGCUUAUAGUAAACUAAUUCCUUACUGAUAAAAGAGAUACUUGCUUACUGUUUUGGACCGGUUGUGAAAUUUCAAAACUGCUUUUUGUAAUUUUUAAGUUUUGGUGGGGGCUGUUGUCUUUUCUUUUUCAUUCUUUUUUAUUUUCCUUGAUAUGAUUGGUUGAUAUUAAAAUAAUUUAUUCUUCUUUUCUUGAAGACCGAGAAGGGGAGAUUUACUCAAUUACGUUUUUUCUU